This 711-nucleotide ribosomal RNA is filed under the name Streptomyces sp. RNAcentral's name for it is "bacterial SSU rRNA". It matches the Rfam family "Bacterial small subunit ribosomal RNA", at positions 90 to 814 of the family's 1533-position model. Lineage: Bacteria; Bacillati; Actinomycetota; Actinomycetes; Kitasatosporales; Streptomycetaceae. The record is from RNAcentral.
GAUUAGUGGCGAACGGGUGAGUAACACGUGGGCAAUCUGCCCUGCACUCUGGGACAAGCCCUGGAAACGGGGUCUAAUACCGGAUAUGACGCGUGACCGCAUGGUCUGCGCGUGGAAAGCUCCGGCGGUGCAGGAUGAGCCCGCGGCCUAUCAGCUUGUUGGUGGGGUAAUGGCUCACCAAGGCGACGACGGGUAGCCGGCCUGAGAGGGCGACCGGCCACACUGGGACUGAGACACGGCCCAGACUCCUACGGGAGGCAGCAGUGGGGAAUAUUGCACAAUGGGCGAAAGCCUGAUGCAGCGACGCCGCGUGAGGGAUGACGGCCUUCGGGUUGUAAACCUCUUUCAGCAGGGAAGAAGCGAAAGUGACGGUACCUGCAGAAGAAGCGCCGGCUAACUACGUGCCAGCAGCCGCGGUAAUACGUAGGGCGCGAGCGUUGUCCGGAAUUAUUGGGCGUAAAGAGCUCGUAGGCGGCUUGUCGCGUCGGAUGUGAAAGCCCGGGGCUUAACCCCGGGUCUGCAUUCGAUACGGGCAGGCUAGAGUUCGGUAGGGGAGAUCGGAAUUCCUGGUGUAGCGGUGAAAUGCGCAGAUAUCAGGAGGAACACCGGUGGCGAAGGCGGAUCUCUGGGCCGAUACUGACGCUGAGGAGCGAAAGCGUGGGGAGCGAACAGGAUUAGAUACCCUGGUAGUCCACGCCGUAAACGUUGGGA